CUUAUUGGGCUCCUGUCUGCAGGAUUUACGCGCACGUUGGAACCGAAGAGAGCUCUGUUGUUGCAAUGUUCAGCCCACAAGAGCUUACUGGUGAAGGAAUGGGACAAGACCCAUCUUUAUGCAAAGCCAGCGUUACAGUAAUGUUCCAGCAUCUCAUAAUCUAUCCUGGGGAAUUCAGCUGCCUCCCAGGGUGAAUACAGGUAUUCCUGAUGACAGUCUGCCUCUAUCUUACAGAGCAGCUUGUUGCUAUAUACCAUUGAAAAGCCUUCAGAGCUGAGAGGUACUACUAACCAAUAACCUGCUUGGCUCAAAGGGCCAGCACCUUCUCUCUAAAGCCCAAGAGGAGUUUGAGGAAAACUAGGUGUCUGUGUUCACUCCAGGCUGAAGUUACAGGUCUGAGCAAAUAAGGUGUAUAAAAAAUGGAAUCUGUCUUGGAGGACAUCAGAAGAUACAAGGGCUUGGUUUUGUUACCCAGGCUGGUUUCAAGGCCAUAGCUUUAAGAGAUCCUCUCACCACAGAUUUCCAAAGUGCUGGGAUUGCAGGUGUGAUUCAUGGCACCCAGACUUUGCUGCCUUUCUUACAUGAUCCAGGCCCAGAACCCAAACUCAGGCACUGUAUAGAUGACCACUUUCGUAAACUACUGACCUAGCUUGUUGCCAAUUGUUGAUUGAACUUCCCAUAACUCCACUUCGUGUCUGUUCCUCUGUAUACAGCCACCUUCUGUUCCCGUCAUGAGCCUUUAGGUCUCCAUUUGCAUAUUGCAAAUACUAUGUUCCAUGUAGGUAGCUCAUUCAGGGCCUUGCUCUUCACUUCAAAAAAGGUUCCCUUGAGGACUGGCUGUCAAUUUGUGUUGCUGUGUUGGUUGUUGAUGAAAAUAAUAAAAUGAUUGAUUACAUA
Molecule: long non-coding RNA, 897 nt
Filed under: Homo sapiens (human)
Lineage: Eukaryota; Metazoa; Chordata; Mammalia; Primates; Hominidae
Description: HSALNT0363087
Source: RNAcentral